GAGCAAUCUGUGUGACUGCGUACCUUUUGUAUAAUGGGUCAGCGACUUAUAUUCUGUAGCAAGGUUAACCGAAUAGGGGAGCCGAAGGGAAACCGAGUCUUAACUGGGCGUUAAGUUGCAGGGUAUAGACCCGAAACCCGGUGAUCUAGCCAUGGGCAGGUUGAAGGUUGGGUAACACUAACUGGAGGACCGAACCGACUAAUGUUGAAAAAUUAGCGGAUGACUUGUGGCUGGGGGUGAAAGGCCAAUCAAACCGGGAGAUAGCUGGUUCUCCCCGAAAGCUAUUUAGGUAGCGCCUCGUGAAUUCAUCUCCGGGGGUAGAGCACUGUUUCGGCAAGGGGGUCAUCCCGACUUACCAACCCGAUGCAAACUGCGAAUACCGGAGAAUGUUAUCACGGGAGACACACGGCGGGUGCUAACGUCCGUCGUGAAGAGGGAAACAACCCAGACCG
RNAcentral lists this ribosomal RNA (452 nucleotides) under Escherichia coli. RNAcentral's name for it is "partial 23S ribosomal RNA". It matches the Rfam family "Bacterial large subunit ribosomal RNA", at positions 582 to 1034 of the family's 2925-position model. The record is from RNAcentral. Lineage: Bacteria; Pseudomonadati; Pseudomonadota; Gammaproteobacteria; Enterobacterales; Enterobacteriaceae.